UACGUAGGGGGCAAGCGUUGUCCGGAAUUAUUGGGCGUAAAGCGCGUGUAGGCGGCCAGAUAAGUCCGCUGUGAAAUCUCGAGGCUCAACUUCGAGCUGUCGGUGGAGACUGUCUGGCUAGAGUCCGGAAGAGGAGAAUGGAAUUCCUGGUGUAGCGGUGAAAUGCGCAGAUAUCAGGAAGAACACCCGUGGCGAAGGCGGUUCUCUGGGACGGUACUGACGCUGAGACGCGAAAGCGUGGGGAGCGAACAGG
Molecule: ribosomal RNA, 253 nt
Filed under: uncultured bacterium
Lineage: Bacteria
Description: partial 16S ribosomal RNA
Rfam family: Bacterial small subunit ribosomal RNA
Source: RNAcentral